RNAcentral lists this ribosomal RNA (483 nucleotides) under uncultured bacterium. RNAcentral describes it as "partial 16S ribosomal RNA". It matches the Rfam family "Bacterial small subunit ribosomal RNA", at positions 30 to 507 of the family's 1533-position model. The record is from RNAcentral.
UUGAACGCUGGCGGCAGGCCUAACACAUGCAAGUCGAGCGGAUGAAGGGAGCUUGCUCCUGGAUUCAGCGGCGGACGGGUGAGUAAUGCCUAGGAAUCUGCCUGGUGGUGGGGGAUAACGUCCGGAAACGGGCGCUAAUACCGCAUACGUCCUGAGGGAGAAAGUGGGGGAUCUUCGGACCUCACGCUAUCAGAUGAGCCUAGGUCGGAUUAGCUAGUUGGUGGGGUAAAGGCCUACCAAGGCGACGAUCCGUAACUGGUCUGAGAGGAUGAUCAGUCACACUGGAACUGAGACACGGUCCAGACUCCUACGGGAGGCAGCAGUGGGGAAUAUUGGACAAUGGGCGAAAGCCUGAUCCAGCCAUGCCGCGUGUGUGAAGAAGGUCUUCGGAUUGUAAAGCACUUUAAGUUGGGAGGAAGGGCAGUAAGUUAAUACCUUGCUGUUUUGACGUUACCAACAGAAUAAGCACCGGCUAACUUCGUG